This 293-nucleotide ribosomal RNA is filed under the name uncultured bacterium. RNAcentral describes it as "partial 16S ribosomal RNA". The record is from RNAcentral.
GGACUACUCGGGUAUCUAAUCCUGUUUGCUCCCCUUGCUCUCGCGCCUCAGCGUCAGGAAAUGAGCUAGAGAACCGCUUUCGCCACCGGUGUUCUUCCACAUAUCUACGCAUUUCACCGCUACACGUGGAAUUCCGUUCUCUCCGCCUAUCCUCAAGAAAUAUAGUUUCAAAUGCAGCUCCGAAGUUGAGCCUCGGAAUUUCACAUCUGACUUACAUCUCCGCCUACGCGCCCUUUACGCCCAAUAAUUCCGAUUAAUGCUUGCACCCUCCGUAUUACCGCGGCUGCUGGCAC